AUGACAGAAAACCUGUGCCUUAGUCUAAUAACUCUUUUAAGGCUGCAGAAGCAUAUAUUUUGCUGAAGCAAAAUGUGAUGGCAAUCUUAAUUCAAAGAUCUAUCUGCAAAGAUAUUUUUCCUAUUUCAGGAAGUUUGGACUCCUGGCCUCUCUCUGCAAUCCAUCCCAUGAAGUCAUCUGGCAGUCCCUAGAUGAGGUGAUGCUGAAGACACUGUGUGCACCUUGGACCAGCAUAGAAGUUCCUGUAGGUUUCAAAAGAAAUUUCC
Molecule: long non-coding RNA, 266 nt
Filed under: Cyanistes caeruleus (blue tit)
Lineage: Eukaryota; Metazoa; Chordata; Aves; Passeriformes; Paridae
Description: lncRNA (ENSCCEG00000021760.1)
Source: RNAcentral